AGGGAAGAAAGACACAGACAAUGAAGAGGAGGAGGCAGUGUGACUACAGAGUUUCGAGGGAUGUAGCCAGGAAAGUGAAGGAGUUCCUGGAGCCACCGGGAGCUGGAAGAGGAAAGAAAAGGGAUGCUUCUAAAAAUAAUACAAGGAGAGGAACUAGAAACUAAGGCUAUUCUGGGAAAAUGGAGACAUAUAGUCAUGAUGCCACGUAUCAGCUGUUUUGCCAGAAUGGUUUUGCAUGAUGCAUGAUGUUUCAUCCUGGAACGAUUUCUUUUUAUGAAAGAAGAAUGAAGAAUGAAGAUGACGGUAACUGAGGGCUUAAAGCAGGCAAGGGCCAACAAAACAAACAAACCAAAAAAACUGUGAGUCAAAUGUGUACCCUUCAGUUUUAAGUUGUUGAUUGUAUUACAGUGUACCCUGAAUUCUGU
Non-coding RNA from Macaca mulatta (Rhesus monkey), 425 nucleotides. NCBI's taxonomy places the organism in Eukaryota, Metazoa, Chordata, Mammalia, Primates, Cercopithecidae. The record is from RefSeq and is a predicted model, not a curated record.